This 255-nucleotide ribosomal RNA is filed under the name uncultured bacterium. Its description in RNAcentral is "partial 16S ribosomal RNA". It matches the Rfam family "Bacterial small subunit ribosomal RNA", at positions 523 to 776 of the family's 1533-position model. The record is from RNAcentral.
UAACGAAGGGUGCGAAGCGUUACUCGGAAUUACUGGGCGUAAAGCGUGCGUAGGUGGUUCGUUAAGUCUGUCGUGAAAGCCCCGGGCUCAACCUGGGAAUGGCGAUGGAUACUGGCGGGCUAGAGUGCGGUAGAGGAGAGUGGAAUUCCCGGUGUAGCAGUGAAAUGCGUAGAGAUCGGGAGGAACAUCAGUUGCGAAGGCGGCUCUCUGGACCAGCACUGACACUGAGGCACGAAAGCGUGGGGAGCAAACAGG